AAGGGAGACCUAAUUCAGGUAUGGGACGAAAAAAAAGUAGUCGCUACCAAGAAUCAAUCCCAAAAGGUCGGAGCGAGGUAUGAGGCUUUCAAACUAGGUUCUGGGUUCAAACAAGACCUGAAUCAGGAACAAGGGCUAUUAGCUCAGGUGGUUAGAGCGCACCCCUGAUAAGGGUGAGGUCCCUGGUUCGAGUCCAGGAUGGCCCACCUGCACAGGUGGCGAAAACAAGAGAAGCGAGGAAUCAGCACCUUAUCUUAUCUAUAUAUAAGAGAGAAUGCUGGCUCUGAGUAAAGAGUCCAGAGGAACCUUGAAAACUGCAUAGAGCUAGGUGAAAAAGCCAAAAAAGAAGACCGCAA
RNAcentral lists this transfer RNA (356 nucleotides) under uncultured Microcystis sp. RNAcentral's name for it is "partial 16S-23S ribosomal RNA intergenic spacer". The stretch from base 133 to 206 matches the Rfam family "tRNA". The record is from RNAcentral. Lineage: Bacteria; Bacillati; Cyanobacteriota; Cyanophyceae; Chroococcales; Microcystaceae.